This 853-nucleotide ribosomal RNA is filed under the name uncultured fungus. Its description in RNAcentral is "SSU rRNA". It matches the Rfam family "Eukaryotic small subunit ribosomal RNA", at positions 1 to 887 of the family's 1831-position model. Lineage: Eukaryota; Fungi. The record is from RNAcentral.
CCUGGUUGAUUCUGCCCGCUUAUAUAUGCUUGUCUCAAAGAUUAAGCCAUGCAUGUCUAAGUAUAAACACGUUAUACUGUGAAACUGCGAAUGGCUCAUUAAAUCAGUUAUAGUUUAUUUGAUGGUUUUUGCUACAUGGAUAACUGUGGUAAUUCUAGAGCUAAUACAUGCGUACAAGCCCCGACUUCUGGAAGGGGUGUAUUUAUUAGAUAAAAAUCAACACUGUUGGUGAAUCAUGAUAACUUCUCGGAUCGCAUGGCCUCGUGCUGGCGAUACUUCAUUCAAAUAUCUGCCCUAUCAACUGUCGAUGGUAGGAUAGAGGCCUACCAUGGUUGCAACGGGUAACGGGGAAUAAGGGUUCGAUUCCGGAGAGGGAGCCUGAGAAACGGCUACCACAUCCAAGGAAGGCAGCAGGCGCGCAAAUUACCCAAUCCCGACACGGGGAGGUAGUGACAAUAUGUAACAAUAUACGGCUUUAUCGUCGUAUAAUUGGAAUGAGUACAAUUUAAAUCCCUUAACGAGGAACAAUUGGAGGGCAAGUCUGGUGCCAGCAGCCGCGGUAAUUCCAGCUCCAAUAGCGUAUAUUAAAGUUGUUGCAGUUAAAAAGCUCGUAGUUGGACCUUGGGCCUGGACGGGCGGUCCGCCUCACGGCGUGUACUGUCUUGCCGGGCCUUUCCUCUUGGUGAUCUGUUGUUUCGGCAGCAGGGAACCAGGACCUUUACUUUGAAAAAAUUAGAGUGUUCAAAGCCAGCUCGACGCCGGAAUAUAUUAGCAUGGAAAUAUAAAAUAGGACGUGCGGUUCUAUUUUGUUGGUUUUUGGAAUCGCCGUAAUGAUUUAUAAGGAACGUCGGGG